GCAGAAGUAUAUAUCAGCUAAAUAGAAAGUGUGCGCCUCAUUGUGCAUGAACUUGAAUCAAGCCCAACAAAUGUCUGUUUUAAAAA
Sinocyclocheilus grahami is the source of this 86-nucleotide long non-coding RNA. RefSeq lists it as uncharacterized. Lineage: Eukaryota; Metazoa; Chordata; Actinopteri; Cypriniformes; Cyprinidae. The record is from RefSeq and is a predicted model, not a curated record. The transcript has 3 exons.